RNAcentral lists this ribosomal RNA (450 nucleotides) under uncultured Bacillota bacterium. RNAcentral describes it as "bacterial SSU rRNA". It matches the Rfam family "Bacterial small subunit ribosomal RNA", at positions 431 to 872 of the family's 1533-position model. The record is from RNAcentral. Lineage: Bacteria; Bacillati; Bacillota.
CUCUGUCAUCAGGGAAGAAAGCAAUUUUAUUAAAGAGAUGAGAUAGUUGACGGUACCUGAUAAGCAAGCUCCGGCUAACUACGUGCCAGCAGCCGCGGUAAUACGUAGGGAGCGAGCGUUGUCCGGAAUUAUUGGGCGUAAAGGGCGCGUAGGCGGUCAGACAAGUCAAAUGUGAAAGACAGCGGCUCAACCGUUGGGUUGCGUUUGAAACUGUAGGACUUGAGUACAGGAGAGGAGAGUGGAAUUUCUGGUGUAGUGGUGGAAUGCGUAGAUAUCAGGAAGAACAUCGGUGGCGAAGGCGGCUCUCUGGCCAUGUACUGACGCUGAGGCGCGAAAGCGUGGGGAGCAAACGGGAUUAGAUACCCCGGUAGUCCACGCCGUAAACGAUGGAUACUAGGUGUAGGUGGUUAGACUCCAUCUGUGCCGCAGUAAACGCAAUAAGUAUCCCGC